Molecule: ribosomal RNA, 425 nt
Filed under: uncultured bacterium
Lineage: Bacteria
Description: partial 16S ribosomal RNA
Rfam family: Bacterial small subunit ribosomal RNA
Source: RNAcentral
GUGGGGAAUCUUGCGCAAUGGGCGAAAGCCUGACGCAGCCAUGCCGCGUGAAUGAUGAAGGUCUUAGGAUUGUAAAAUUCUUUCACCGGGGACGAUAAUGACGGUACCCGGAGAAGAAGCUCCGGCUAACUUCGUGCCAGCAGCCGCGGUAAUACGAAGGGGGCUAGCGUUGCUCGGAAUUACUGGGCGUAAAGGGCGCGUAGGCGGACAGUUUAGUCAGAGGUGAAAGCCCAGGGCUCAACCUUGGAAUUGCCUUUGAUACUGGCUGUCUGGAGUACGGGAGAGGUGAGUGGAAAUCCGAGUGUAGAGGUGAAAUUCGUAGAUAUUCGGAAGAACACCAGUGGCGAAGGCGACUCACUGGCCCGUUACUGACGCUGAGGCGCGAAAGCGUGGGGAGCAAACAGGAUUAGAUACCCUAGUAGUCC